Molecule: ribosomal RNA, 895 nt
Filed under: Streptococcus thermophilus
Lineage: Bacteria; Bacillati; Bacillota; Bacilli; Lactobacillales; Streptococcaceae
Description: bacterial SSU rRNA
Rfam family: Bacterial small subunit ribosomal RNA
Source: RNAcentral
GUAGAACGCUGAAGAGAGGAGCUUGCUCUUCUUGGAUGAGUUGCGAACGGGUGAGUAACGCGUAGGUAACCUGCCUUGUAGCGGGGGAUAACUAUUGGAAACGAUAGCUAAUACCGCAUAACAAUGGAUGACACAUGUCAUUUAUUUGAAAGGGGCAAUUGCUCCACUACAAGAUGGACCUGCGUUGUAUUAGCUAGUAGGUGAGGUAAUGGCUCACCUAGGCGACGAUACAUAGCCGACCUGAGAGGGUGAUCGGCCACACUGGGACUGAGACACGGCCCAGACUCCUACGGGAGGCAGCAGUAGGGAAUCUUCGGCAAUGGGGGCAACCCUGACCGAGCAACGCCGCGUGAGUGAAGAAGGUUUUCGGAUCGUAAAGCUCUGUUGUAAGUCAAGAACGGGUGUGAGAGUGGAAAGUUCACACUGUGACGGUAGCUUACCAGAAAGGGACGGCUAACUACGUGCCAGCAGCCGCGGUAAUACGUAGGUCCCGAGCGUUGUCCGGAUUUAUUGGGCGUAAAGCGAGCGCAGGCGGUUUGAUAAGUCUGAAGUUAAAGGCUGUGGCUCAACCAUAGUUCGCUUUGGAAACUGUCAAACUUGAGUGCAGAAGGGGAGAGUGGAAUUCCAUGUGUAGCGGUGAAAUGCGUAGAUAUAUGGAGGAACACCGGUGGCGAAAGCGGCUCUCUGGUCUGUAACUGACGCUGAGGCUCGAAAGCGUGGGGAGCGAACAGGAUUAGAUACCCUGGUAGUCCACGCCGUAAACGAUGAGUGCUAGGUGUUGGAUCCUUUCCGGGAUUCAGUGCCGCAGCUAACGCAUUAAGCACUCCGCCUGGGGAGUACGACCGCAAGGUUGAAACUCAAAGGAAUUGACGGGGGCCCGCACAAGCGGUGGAGC